CUCUUCUAUGAAAAUUCCAUUGUUUCUGCCGAAGCUUUGAUCAGUACUUCUCUUUUGCUUGAUCUCGGUUUUUGACCAGUUUAUUGCGUCGAUCAAUGCAUUGAAAGUGACUACAUCGGGGUUCCGAUUUUUUUUGUUCUUCAUAUGAUGAAGC
Molecule: small RNA, 154 nt
Filed under: Arabidopsis thaliana (thale cress)
Lineage: Eukaryota; Viridiplantae; Streptophyta; Magnoliopsida; Brassicales; Brassicaceae
Description: ATSL048330
Source: RNAcentral